GUGGGGAAUAUUGGACAAUGGGCGAAAGCCUGAUCCAGCCAUGCCGCGUGAGUGAUGAAGGCCUUAGGGUUGUAAAGCUCUUUUGUCCGGGAAGAUAAUGACUGUACCGGAAGAAUAAGCCCCGGCUAACUUCGUGCCAGCAGCCGCGGUAAUACGAAGGGGGCUAGCGUUGCUCGGAAUCACUGGGCGUAAAGGGCGCGUAGGCGGACUUUUAAGUCGGAGGUGAAAGCCCAGGGCUCAACCCUGGAAUUGCCUUCGAUACUGGGAGUCUUGAGUUCGGAAGAGGUUGGUGGAACUGCGAGUGUAGAGGUGAAAUUCGUAGAUAUUCGCAAGAACACCGGUGGCGAAGGCGGCCAACUGGUCCGAAACUGACGCUGAGGCGCGAAAGCGUGGGGAGCAAACAGGAUUAGAUACCCGAGUAGUCC
This 425-nucleotide ribosomal RNA is filed under the name uncultured bacterium. RNAcentral's name for it is "partial 16S ribosomal RNA". It matches the Rfam family "Bacterial small subunit ribosomal RNA", at positions 354 to 796 of the family's 1533-position model. The record is from RNAcentral.